RNAcentral lists this unclassified non-coding RNA (194 nucleotides) under uncultured Russulaceae. Its description in RNAcentral is "sequence contains ITS1". Lineage: Eukaryota; Fungi; Basidiomycota; Agaricomycetes; Russulales; Russulaceae. The record is from RNAcentral.
UCAUACAACGGGGGAGGUGCUUGGGCUGUAGCUGACCUUUCAAUGGGUCGUGCACGCCUGAGCACACUCUCACACAUCCAUCUCACCCCUCUGUGCAUCACCAUGUGGGUCUUCCUUUGCAGGAGGGCUCGCUUUUCACACAAAAACUUGAUACAGUGUAGAAUGUUACCUUUUGCGGUCACACGCAAUCAAUA